This 493-nucleotide ribosomal RNA is filed under the name uncultured bacterium. RNAcentral describes it as "partial 16S ribosomal RNA". It matches the Rfam family "Bacterial small subunit ribosomal RNA", at positions 29 to 523 of the family's 1533-position model. The record is from RNAcentral.
AUUGAACGCUGGCGGCAUGCUUUACACAUGCAAGUCGAACGGUAACAGGUUAAGCUGACGAGUGGCGAACGGGUGAGUAAUGCAUCGGAACGUGCCCGGUCGUGGGGGAUAACGCAGCGAAAGCUGCGCUAAUACCGCAUACGAUUUGAGGAUGAAAGCGGGGGACCGUAAGGCCGCGCGCGAUCGGAGCGGGCGAGGUCAGAUUAGGUAGUUGGUGGGGUAAAGGCUGACCAAGCCAACGAUCUGUAGCUAGUCUGGGAGGCCGACCAGCCACGCUGAGACUGCGACAUCGCCCGGAAUCCUACGGGAGGCAGCAGUGGGGAAUUUUGGACGAUGGGCGAAAGCCUGAUCGAGAAAUGCCGAGUGAAGGAAGAAGGCCUUCGGGUUGUGACCUGCUUUUGUACGGAGCGAAAAGGUCUCCUCUAAUACAGGGGGCUCAUGACGGUACCGUAAGAAUAAGCACCGGCUAACUACGUGCCAGCCGCCGCCGUAA